AGUCGANGAUGAAGCCCAGCUUGCUGGGUGGAUUAGUGGCGAACGGGUGAGUAACACGUGAGUAACCUGCCCUUAACUCUGGGAUAAGCCUGGGAAACUGGGUCUAAUACCGGAUAGGAGCGCCGACCGCAUGGUGGGUGUUGGAAAGAUUUAUCGGUUUUGGAUGGACUCGCGGCCUAUCAGCUUGUUGGUGAGGUAAUGGCUCACCAAGGCGACGACGGGUAGCCGGCCUGAGAGGGUGACCGGCCACACUGGGACUGAGACACGGCCCAGACUCCUACGGGAGGCAGCAGUGGGGAAUAUUGCACAAUGGGCGCAAGCCUGAUGCAGCGACGCCGCGUGAGGGAUGACGGCCUUCGGGUUGUAAACCUCUUUCAGUAGGGAAGAAGCGAAAGUGACGGUACCUGCAGAAGAAGCACCGGCUAACUACGUGCCAGCAGCCGCGGUAAUACGUAGGGUGCGAGCGUUAUCCGGAAUUAUUGGGCGUAAAGAGCUCGUAGGCGGUUUGUCGCGUCUGUCGUGAAAGUCCGGGGCUUAACCCCGGAUCUGCGGUGGGUACGGGCAGACUAGAGUGCAGUAGGGGAGACUGGAAUUCCUGGUGUAGCGGUGGAAUGCGCAGAUAUCAGGAGGAACACCGAUGGCGAAGGCAGGUCUCUGGGCUGUAACUGACGCUGAGGAGCGAAAGCAUGGGGAGCGAACAGGAUUAGAUACCCUGGUAGUCCAUGCCGUAAACGUUGGGCACUAGGUGUGGGGACCAUUCCACGGUUUCCGCGCCGCAGCUAACGCAUUAAGUGCCCCGCCUGGGGAGUACGGCCGCAAGGCUAAAACUCAAAGGAAUUGACGGGGGCCCGCACAAGCGGCGGAGCAUGCGGAUUAAUUCGAUGCAACGCGAAGAACCUUACCAAGGCUUGACAUGUUCUCGAUCGCCGUAGAGAUACGGUUUCCCCUUUGGGGCGGGUUCACAGGUGGUGCAUGGUUGUCGUCAGCUCGUGUCGUGAGAUGUUGGGUUAAGUCCCGCAACGAGCGCAACCCUCGUUCCAUGUUGCCAGCACGUAAUGGUGGGGACUCAUGGGARACUGCCGGGGUCAACUCGGAGGAAGGUGAGGACGACGUCAAAUCAUCAUGCCCCUUNUGUCUUGGGCUU
RNAcentral lists this ribosomal RNA (1144 nucleotides) under Micrococcus sp. RNAcentral's name for it is "bacterial SSU rRNA". Lineage: Bacteria; Bacillati; Actinomycetota; Actinomycetes; Micrococcales; Micrococcaceae. The record is from RNAcentral.